UGUCGUAGUGCUGUCGAUUAGGCGAUGA
This 28-nucleotide small RNA is filed under the name Bombyx mori (domestic silkworm). RNAcentral's name for it is "ovarian small RNA-9030". Lineage: Eukaryota; Metazoa; Arthropoda; Insecta; Lepidoptera; Bombycidae. The record is from RNAcentral.